This 10850-nucleotide long non-coding RNA is filed under the name Lactuca sativa (garden lettuce). RNAcentral's name for it is "long non-coding RNA (LSAT_LNC002301)". Lineage: Eukaryota; Viridiplantae; Streptophyta; Magnoliopsida; Asterales; Asteraceae. The record is from RNAcentral.
UUAAAUUUUGGUGUUUCCCAAUUCCCACUUUUCCUCCACCCCCAAGUUGACUCCGCAAAAUCCCUAGGUCUCCGUUUCCAAAAUCCACAGAUCAUGCACAAUCGAAGUCGAAUGUGGACCAUCAUCCCGCCCCUUUGGCCUCCGUUUCUCUUACUAGGCCCGCCGUCGAGCUUGUAGUCCAUAAUCAUUGUCUCUCUACUCAGUCUCAGUCAAGCUUCUAGUUCAUCCCCUUUUUCCUCCGUUUAUCUGCUUUCUGUGACUCUCUCUCAGCCUUCUCUUUUCUACUCCACUCCGGCGGCGAACUACUGGUAACCCACUACGAUUCAGACACCCUUCUUCGUAUUUUCUAUCCAGAGGUAAAUGGCUCGAAACAAGGUAAAGUUCAUCUGAUUUUCUGUUUCUAAAGUAUUUACACUCGCCAAUAUAUCACUUCAGUUCGUAUAACUCUUUGUUGCUAAGCUUUUUAACAUAAAUGUUUGAUGAUGUUAAUUGCAUAUAUGUCUAAUCUCCACUUAAUAUAGUUCAUCUUUUUUUUUUCAAUGGAGUUACUGUUGCUGGUUUGUUAGGGUAAGAAAUAUGAGGAUUAGUUUGUGGAUUUUGUUUACUGAUUUGUAUUUGUUAGCUUAUCGAUGUUCCUUAGAUGAAUGCUAACACCUAUUGUGGUUUAUAUUUAUAUGUGAAACUGAUGUUUAUUGUUUCUAUAAGUCAAAUUACAGAACUAAUAAUAGUUAUGAUGGUUACUCAAAGGAUUUAUCUUACCAAUUUCAAGAUAACAUGAAAGUAAUCCUUUUAUAUGUAUUUAUCAUUAGUCACAGAGCCUUCUUAUUUAUUUUUUGUUUAUUUUUUUUUUCAUACAUUUGUUAGCGCCAACUUAAUUAAUUUAGUUAUAUAUUAUAUUAAUGACACAUACUAUACAUACUAUCCAUACCGCCUUUACCUUCUAGUAAUACCCCUUCAUUAUAUUAACUUUUUCUUUAACUAUCCAUACCCCCUUUACCUUUAGUAAUACCCCUUAAUCAUUAUAACCUUUAGUAAUACCCUUAAUCAUUAUAUUAACUUUUUCUUUAAAUGAUUAAAAUGAUUAAGUAAUAAUUUAAUUCUUUUUGACUAUAAUCAAGUAAUUAUUUGAUAUGCAAAUAAUUGAUUAUCUAUUUAAUCCAUUUAAUAUAUUUUAAAUUUAUAAAAUGUAUUACAUAUAUUAUUUGUAUGUAAACUAUUCAAUCUAUUUAAUAAAACAUUUUUAUAUUUUAAAUUUAUAAAACAAAAAACGUUUGUUAUAUAUUAUUUAUACGCAACUAAUAAAAUUAUUUUAUAUAAAAGAAUUAUAUUUAACACAUUACAAUAAUAAAAUAAUAUUUCAACGCAACGGAUUAUAAAAAAGUUAAAAUAUAUUUGUACUUAAUCAAUAUGUAUCCAAGGUGCUACAGAACUACGAGGCCUAAGUUGAUUGUAUAAUUCAAAACGAGACCAAUACAUAGUUUCCCAUGUAGAUGCCGACAUGCUUCUAUGGGCAUUCUAAUACAUUGUGGUAGGAGGCAUUGGUAAUUUCCUUUCGAAAACCCAACAUAUAAUUGUUGCCAUUUACAUAUGCCAAUGUAAUGGCUUUGUGGGGUUGAAACUUCUCGGGACCUCUCCAAAGAGGGAAACAUGUCGUAGAAUGUUUGUGGCUUAAAUAGUGAACGAUCACACGAAACAUGUUGGAAAUCAGGUAACCAUUAAAAGGCAUAUGCAACCAAUAUCAAGAAGGUGCAGGUGUUUUAAACCAACACAAUGAAUCAUAUACCUUGUUGAACCCGUCAGUAAAAACUAUAUGGUAUGUAUAAUAUUGACUCUCUAACUCUUCAAGCAAUUGUUUUCGAUUAUAAAGCCACUGGUCUUCAUUGUACCCCAGACAAACGGCUACCACUUGAAACCCACAAUUUCCAUCACCUUCUACAUCAUGUAUGUCGUCAAUGUAAUCAUUAAAUAUAUCUGGAAUAUUUCUCAGUUGGAAUGGAUCAUGGCUCGGUGGUUUAUCAGUUAAGUCAGGUUCUUUAUUUAAAUCAAACCCAACAAACUCUGAUGUGGUUGAGAAGUUGUAUUUACUAGGAGGUUGAUUUUGAGGAUUAACUUUAUUUUUUUGAUGUUUCUUCACACUUGGUCGUCCACGAGUGUUUUUUUGAAUUGUAGGUUCUUCGAUGUUAGUUUUUUUGAAUUGUAGGUUCUUGAAGCUUUCUUUAAAAUUUUCAACUAUAUCAUCACACAAAAUAUUGUCGUCUACUACAAAUGUUGUAUCUGAAAUAUCAAGCUUCCCUCAAAAGAUAUCUAUUGAAUCCAAUGGUAUAUCUUCACCUGCAUUGAAAUAUAAAAUAAUUAUUUAUAUAACAUUUUAAAAACUAUCUGUAUGUGGUAGUCGAACGUACGAACCUGAAUUCAAGUAGACAAAAAGUAUGCAAACACGUGGUAACCCACAAUUGUUACGAAGUUUGCAACCACAAUUUGACGAGUCUAAAUUUAGAUCAUUCAACAUUUGAAGCUCUUUUAAUAUUAUAUCUAUAGCUUUGUUCGAAACAAAACCAAGCAGUAACCGGAAGCACUUCAAAUUGUGGUGAUUGUAGCGAUAACAUAUGCUGUUUUCAAAACUUUCGUUGAUCGAAGUUACCUGUGACUGCACAAUUUAAGUAAUCUGUUGCACAAAUAUAUCUAGAUUACAAUUUGAGAAGUCCAAAAUUUUCUUUAACUUGGAAUGGGAGCUCUCAACUCUAUUGGGUGUGCGGUUUCCAAAAUUUAAAUGUUGAUCAACCAAACGUACACAAACAUUCCUUUGUACUUAUUUAACCAUGUAUUCUCUAAGUAUCUCAAAACACUUACGAAGUAAAAUAAAUUAACAAAUAAGUACGUAAAUAGUAAUAUGAAGGUUUUGAUUUAAAACAUAGUCAAUAAACAAAGCUUACGUGGAUAAUCUGAGAACAUUGAUUGAAGUCGCUCAUAGUUUUCCAUGUAUGCCAUCCAUGUUGGAGACCCAACUAGUAUGGCGUGGCACUACAUGUUUUCCUGUUAAAUUUGCCACCAAACGAUUCUAAUCAACAAAUAACCGUCGUACAAAAAGAUGACCCUCCAUAUGCCGUGUAGGUGUAUGAUUAUGUUCAUCACAUUUUACCCUUAGCAUCCAUCAAUCAAAUAUUUUUGAAUACUUUCCUUGCAAUUCAAAUUUACAAUUAGUCUUUCUGCUUCCAGAUGUUCUAAUUGUGUUAAUAGCUUUAUACUCUCCACUAGGAUCACAUGCAAGUAUGACUUUAUACAUGAAUCCGUUCACAUAUGUUUUUGAUAAUUUCGUGAUGAUGACAUAUCAUAGAGAUCGUGUUGUGUUUUGUGUCAAUUCAAACAAUUCCUCACGAGACCUGAACAUCUGAAAUUGAAUUUGAUGUGUUUUAGAAUAUAUUUUUUAUUUCAAAACAUCAUAAUCUAGUAUAAUUAUAUAACCUGAUCGCAAGGAGGCAAAGUUGAUUCCAAACAACUUAAACAUAUCUAUAUACAAAAAUCACGAUAGAUAUGUUGAUAUGAUGUUUCACAAAUACAAAAAACAUAAGAUUUCAUAAAAAAUAACUCAGUAUUUUUUAAAUCAAAAAAAUAAUGUAUUAACAUAAAAAGAUAUUUGCAAUUAUUUAAAUAAAAAAAUGCAGCUCUAAUUAGAAAAUAUGUUCGAUUAUACUUUGUCAAUUGAAGCUUUCACAUGAAGCAAUUAUUUAAACUUCGAACAAAAUAUGUGCACUUAUUUAAACUUCGAACUAAUGGUUAAAAUGAAAUAUUUUUAAACUGAUGGGCUAUAAAUAUAAAAUUCUAAGAUAUAAAAAUCUUACUUUCUCAAAAUCCUAACAACAUAAAUCGGCCGCCAAGAAGAGAGUGACAUACCAGAUGCAAUUUCCGGCGGCAAGAGUCGAAUUCCGACGACUUCUCCGAUUAAAUGGUAGGCUGUUUCAGGCGGCUUCUAGUACUUUUUCAAGUCACUUGAUGAUGUUCAUAGCCACUGGUCCAGCACUUCAUCGGCGGUCUUUCUCGGGGUGUUCCAGUCGUGUUUCUCACGAUCUCUCUCUCUCUCUCUCUCUCUCUCUCUCUCUCUCUCUUUCUUUCUCGUUCUGUCUUUCCGGGGAUCUCUCGUUCAAUACAAUAAUGAAUCAUAAUCAUCAAAAAAAUUGUUCACCACAGGAACCAACGUCAAUCAACAAACUGUCGUCGGCAACAACUAACCGACGGUAACCAAACCACACCGGAGAUAGAAAGGGAGAAAGAGAAAUUGUAAGAAAGACCACUGGAACCACCAUUUACCAUCGUUAAACACCUUUUUACCAUUGUCAACCAUUGUUAACCACCAUUUAACACCCUAUGAAUACCUUAAACCAUCGUGACCAGAUUGAGAAAAGCGAGCUAUUCAUCAUUUACGUCGGAGACAUAACGAUAGAUUGUCGAAAAGACAGAACGAGAAAAAGAGAGAUCGUGAGAAACAUGACUGGAACACCGUGAGAAAGACCGUCGACGAAGCGACAGACCAGUGGACGUUCACGAAGUGUUGGACCAAUGGCUAUGAACGUCAUCAAGUGACGUAAAAAAGUAGGAGAAACUGCCUGAAACAGCCUACCAUUUAAUCGGAGAAGCCGUCAGAAUUCGACUCUUGUUGCCGGAAAUUGCAUAUGGUAUGUUACUCUCUUCUUGACGGUUGAUUUAUGUUGUUAGGGUUUUGAGAAAGUAAGAUUUUUAUAUCUUAGAAUUUUAUAUUUAUAGCCCAUCAAUUAAAAAUAUUUCAUUUUAACCCUUAGUUCGAAGUUUAAAUAAAUGCACAUAUUUUGUUCGAACAUGUUAUCUAAUUAGAGUUGCACUUUUUUAUUUUUUAUUUAAAUAAUUGCAAAUAUUUUUUUUAUGUUAAUACAUUGUAUUUUCAAUUUAAAAAAUAUUGAAUUAUUUUUUAUGAAAGCUUAUGGUUUUUGUAUUUGUGCAACAUUAUAUUAAUAUAUCUAUCGUGAUUUUUGUAUAUAGAUAUGUUAAAGUCGUUUGAAAUCAACUUGUCUGCUUGCGAUCACGUUAUGUAAUUAUAUUCGAUUGUGAUGUUUUGAAAUAAAAAAUAUAUUCUAAAACACAUAAAAUUCAAUUUCAUAUGUUCACGUCUUGGAAUGAAUUGUUUGAAUGGACACAAAACACAACACGAUCUCUAGGAUAUGUCAUUAUCACAAAAAGAUCAAAAGCAUAUGUGAAAGGAUUUGUGUAUAAAGUCAUACUUGCAUGUGAUCGUAGUGGAGAGUAUAAAGCUAUUAACACAAUUAGAGCAUCUGGAAGCAUAAAGAUUAAUUGUAAAUUUGAAUUGCAAUGAAAGUAUUUAAAAGUAUUUGAUCGAUGGAUGCUAAGGGUAAAAUGUGAUGAACAUAAUCAUGCACCUGCACAACAUAUGGAGGGCCAUCUGUUUGUACGACGGUUAUCUGUUGAUGAGAAUCGUUUGGUGGCAAAUUAAACACGAAAGCAUGUAGCGCCACUCCAUACUAGUUGAGUCUCUAACAUGAAUGACAUACACGAAAAACUAUGAACGACUUCAAUCAAUGUUCAUAGAUUAUCCACGUAAGCUUGUUUAUUGACUAUGUUUUAAAUCAAAACCUUCAUAUUACUAUAUAUGUACUUAUUUGUUAAUUUAUUUUACUUAGCAAGUGUUUUGAGAUACGUAGAGGAUAUAUGGUUAAAUAAGUACAAAGAAAUGUUUGUGUCGGUUUGGGUUGAUCAACAUCUAAAUUUUUGAAACCACACAUCUAAUAGAGUUGAGGGUGCACAUUCCAAGUUAAAGAAAUUUUUGGACUUCCCAAAUUGUAAUCUAGAUAUAUUUGUGCAACAGAUUACUUAAAUUGUGCAGUUACAUACAACUUUGAUCAACGAAAGUCUUGAAAACAACAUAUAUUAUCGCUACAAUCACCACAAUUUGAAGUGCUUUCGGUUACUGCGUUGUUUUGUUUCGAACAAAGCUUUAGAUAUAAUAUUAGGAGAGCUUCAAAGGUUGAAUGAUAUAAAUUCAGACUCCUCAGAUUGUGGUUGAAAACUUCGUAAUUGUUGUGGGUUACCAUGUGCUUGCAUACUUUUUGUCUACUCCAAUCCAGGUUCGUACGUUCAACUACCACAUACAGAUAGUUUUUAAAAUGUUAUAUAAAUAAUUAUUUUAUAUUUUAAUGCAGGUGAAGAUAUACCUUUGGAUUCAAUAGAUAUCUUUUGGAGGAAACUUGAUAUUUCAGAUACGACACCUGUAGUAGACGAUAAUAUUUUGUGUGAUGAUAUAGUUGAAAAAAUUAAAGAAAGCUUCAUGAAGCAAUCAAAAGCCGAGAAAAACAACCUUAUAUGAGAAAGCUACAAGAGAUAUAUGAUCCACAAAAAACUAACAUUGGAGAACUUACAUUUCAAAAAAAAAAAAAAAAAAACACUCGUGGACGACGAAAAAAAGAAAGCCAAUCCUCCAAAUCAAGCUCCUAGUAGAUACAAGUUCUCAACCACAUUAAAGUUUGUUGGGUUUGAUUUAAAUAAAGAACCUGACUUAACUGAUGAACCACCGAGCCAUGAUCCAUUCCAAUUGAGAAAUAUUCCAGAUAUAUUUCAUGAUUACAUUGACGAUAUGAUGUAGAAGGUGAUGGAAAUUGUAGGUUUCGAGCGGUAGCCGUUUGUCUGGGUUACAAUGAAGACCAGUGGCUUUAUAAUCGAGGGAUUGGAAAUCCUUGGAGGGUUAGAGGGAUUGGAAAUCCUUCUAAUCUUUGGUGCUGUAAGAGCUUUGUCGAAACAAAGUAGGGGAGAAUCAUUCGGGGAUCUAGAAUUAGAAGUAGUUGUGAAACUAGGAGGAGUUUCGCAUUCCCAUCGGGGAGGAUGGUAGCCCAAGUGAUUGUUUGAAUUAAGGAUUGUGUGGAUGGGAGUUUGGAAAACUUCCCAAUUUUUGGGUUCAUGCCUUCUUGGUGUCGGGUAGCAAGCUUUGGGGAUCCAGUUAUGACUCUAGUUCAGCUUGGGUGUUAGGUCGAGUGUGUGCUUAACUUUGGAUGUCUUCGAAUUGAUAGAUUAGCGGUAAGGCUUUGGGCGACAGUUUGUAAGACUGUGGGGGGCCGUAGCAUUCACUAGUUCGUAGAAAAUGUAGGAGUGUUAUAAGACUGCAUGGUGGCCCAUAGCAUUCACUAGUCCGCAGAUAAUGUAGGCGUGUCAUAAGACUGCGGGGUGGCGCAUAGCAUUCACUAGGGGUUGGUUGUAAGACUGUGGGGUGGCUUGUAGCAUUCACCGGUCCUGUGCAGCGAGAGAGUGUGGCAAAUUUAUGAUUUGCUCACGGUUCUUCGGAUGGUUUGGGCCAGGGUGGGCCAGUUCGUAAGGCCGUGGGUGAGCCACAGUGUAUCCAUAAUCAGGAAAUGGAAGGUCACGGGAGACCAAGUAAGAUGUAAGACUACAGUUGGUCUUGUAGCGUUCAGUUUAGCAUUAGAUUUGGUGACUAGAUGGUUUAGGUAGUUGUUGUCAGCCGGGGUUUUCUUUAGGAAGUCACGUGUGGCGACUGUGGGAGUGUCUUUUGGCUCAACAUUCGGGCGGGAAUUCAGUAUUUUAGAUAGUUGGAAGACAAGUUGGGACCAGGGCGGUCUCGGCUGCUUGUGGGAAGCAACAAGGAGGCAGCGUGGUACUUCGGGCAAUAGUUGUGAUUUGAGGUUUCGUGUGGGAGUAGGGUGACUGGUUGAUUGGGAAAUGCUAAGCCACUCGCAGUGGGAUUAAAUAAUCUCAGAGUAAUUGAAUUGACCUUGUUGCGCAACUCUCGUAUGAGUCUAACCGUUGCAUGGAUGAAUCUUCUACUCGAAGGAUUAUUUGACCCUUCUAUCGAGUAUACGUGUUCUAUAGUUGUAUAAGGUCAGUGACUUUGUUCCUUUUGAAGCAGCAAUGUGAUCGGGGGUUGGAAGAAUUUUGUUUGGUACAAAACUCUAUGAGGUUGGCAUGGUGGCGGUUCGGUGUGGGAGGUCUGACAGGGAGUUAGACCAUUGAGACUUUAGGUUUCAAAUUUUAGGUGAGGUAAGAUUGGUUUUUAUUCAAGAAAUUGAGGAUUCAUUCUCUAUCGGGCUUGAAGAACUAUUCUACGGAUGGUUUUAGUAGAUCUGGAUAGGCCGUUGUAUGAUCAGGGUUGGAAGUGUUAUGUUGGUUUGUUAUUCGUUGAGAGUUUGGCAUGGAGUUGUUUCAGCAUGGGCGGUCUGUCGGGGAGUCAGACCAUUAUAGAUUUCGGGUAAUCAGAAAAGUAGAAGUGGUUCGGUUGUAGGGGAUGAAGGUUUGAUUGCUGUCUUCGGGAUGGAAGUUUUGGUUUAGGUUUCGGUUGUCUUGGGAAGAUAUUCUUAUGCGCAGAAUUUUCGAUAGUGUUCCUCAGGUUUUUUGUUUUGAUAUGAGUGUUAGUAAGGAGCAAUUUCGAGGACGAAAUCUAAUUUAAAUGUACAGAGAGUUGUAACACCCGAAAUAUAAAAGAUUAAUUGUGGAAGAAAAUCCCCUUUCCUAGGGACCAACACGGCGAGUUGAUGGUGGGAAACUCGACGUGUUGGAAGCUUUUGGGAUGCACAUUUUUAUGGACCAACUCGACGAGUUGGUGAAGGGAACUCGGCGAGUUGGACGCUGAUUGAGAAACCCUAAUUUUUAGUGUGCUGCACCCUAUUUAAAGGCCUUAAGUUAUUUGGUUGGCCUCCUUACCAGCCUCCUUUGUCCAGAAACCCUAAAAUCAAGCUUUACCUUUCAUUGUUGAGUGUGAGAGCUUGGGGAGACCCUUGGGUGUUCAUUUUUGGUGCAUGUUGAAGGAGCUAAGGAAUUAGGAGUUGCUUGGCCUGAAUAAGAAGUCUUGGAUCCAGAAUCUCUGUCUCAUUUGCUAAGUUUUUGAGGUAUCAAGUUCUCACAUUGCUUAUUAGUUGCUUAGAUAUCUUCUUGGGUUAGAUUUUAUGCUUUUUAGCCAUAGUUGGGUGGAUGUUGGGGAUUAGGGUGUCCCAAAUGAUUAUUCUUUCAGAUCUAAGGUCUACAUGAGCUCUUUUGGCAUAAAUGUGCCAACUUUAUGGAUUUAAGGACUUCAUGCAUUCAUUAAGUCCCUUAUUAAGCCCUUUUUGAGCUUUUGAGCUCCUCAUAGUCAUGCUUAAGCGUAAAGUUGGAAACUUUACGUGACCAUCUAGCCUUAUGGGGUCAGAUCUGCAUUUUAGGGUUUUGUCUUUGAUGAUUAAGUGUUUAAUGGUUAACCCCUCACUCUUUUAAGUCUAGGGUUUGGACCCAUUUAGGUGGUUCCUAGGGGUAAAGUUUCCAACUUUACCCUUCUUGAUCUCAUUUUGGUCGAGAUCUGAGCUUUGGAGCUCUUGGAUUCGAUGAAGGCAUCUUAAUGCAUUAAAUUGUUGGGUCUUGGGCGAACUCGGCGAGUUUGUUGGUCAACUCGGCGAGCUGACUUGGUUUUCCCCAUUUUAAGUUGAUAGAGAAACUCGGCGAGUUGUUGGUCAACUCAGUGAGUUGGGUCAACAUGGAUUGUUGAUCUUAAUUUUUUUGACUUUUUAUCUUUGAACAAGUUUGUCCCAAGGGGUACUUGAGGUAAUCUGAAUUGUAAGUAAAUGAAUUAUGGGCUUAAGAUAAGGCCCAUAUGGGGAUUGGGCCAAAUUUGGAAAAUUGGGCCAUUUGUGGACUUUUAUGGAUCGAGUAGUUUCUGGCAUUUUGGGCUUGAGUUAUUAAUGGUUCAUCGGGAUACAAAGUGUUUGGACUAGAAAGAUGGUUGGGCCUUAAGGCAAGGCCAUGUAUGGGGUUUGUGCCCAAAUUUGAAAAAUUUGGCCAUUGGUUGAUUAGUGGGCCUUUUAGAUUAUAGUUUGGGUCAUAUAUUUGGACAAGGAUAGGUUAGGGGUAAAAUGGUCUUUUUACCCUAGGUAUGAAGUUGUGGAUAUGGAUUGGAACCUAAUUGUUAAUUGGGUGUUGUUUUGGUCUAUCAGUUUGGAAGUGUCGUCAGGGCAGCAGCUAGGGAUUUCUUUCAGUGUGCUUCAACAUUCGAGGUGAGUCUCCUCACUGCUUUAGUGGUUCAAAGGCACCAAUCCCGGCCCAAGUUUAUAUUAAGUUGUUAGUAUGCUAGGUGUCUUUAUGACUCUUACAUGUGCCUGUGUUUAUAUGUUUUCCGAGCUAAGGCCCGAUGUCGAGUAGGGACUGAUGAAUAUUUGUAUGCUAUGUAUCUAUGUGAUUAUUUCAUGUGUGUGUUAUUUGAUAUAUGUUAUUGCACGUUGGGCGGGCCCGUUUUAUCGAGCUUAACUCGAUGCCGAGCGGGGCCUGAUGCCGGACGGGGUCCAAUGCCGGGCGGGGCCCACUAUAUGUUUAUUGUAUGUUUCUUGUAUGGUAUGUGGUAUUGGGGGAAUUCAUUAAGCUUUGUGCUUAUGGUUUUCAAUUUAUGUUUCAGGUACUUCAGUUUUCAAAUGAAAGAGCUCGGGACGAUCGCAACGCGUGCACCCGUGUUUUCUGCAAUAUGUGAUUUUUGGGAAUGAACUCUGAUAAUUGUUUUAUUUGAAAUGCUUUUCAAUGUUUGGACAAAUAUAAAAUAGAGUUUUGAUUAUAAUAAAAAUGAACUUUUUAUCCUUGAUUUUUGGGAUGUUUCAUACACCUUGCAUAUCAACCCAAACCGCAAAUAAUCUAUAUGUUUGAAAUGUUCUUUUGUAUUUAUAAUUUAUGGUUAUCAUCAUCACAAAGACAACUAGAAACUGUAAGUAAUAUAGUGUAUUUGGGAUGAGAAGGUUUUAUCCUUCAAACAACCAAAACGUAAGAGAACAACCCAGAUCUGAUACUCUUCUUCAAGAAAAAAAAAUGAAACCGUGAAGGAAAAACUAAACUCUCCUGAGAGACGUAAUAAC